GAUGAAGAACGUAGUGAAAUGCGAUACUUGGUGUGAAUUGCAGAAUCCCGUGAACCAUCGAGUCUUUGAACGCAAGUUGCGCCCGAAGCCGUCAGGCCGAGGGCACGCCUGCCUGGGCGUCACACGCCGUUGCCCCCCCGCGCCCCGCACCCAACUCUUUGGGAGCGACCGCGGGGCGGGCUGAUGAUGGCCUCCCGUGCGCUCCGCCGCGCGGUUGGCCCAAAUACCGAGUCCCCGGCGACGUGCGCCACGACGAUCGGUGGUUGAGAGACCUCUGUCGCAAGUCGUGCGCGCCCGUCGCGUCACGCGGGCUCGCAUAGCGCCUCGCGCCGCACCCGGUGCGGAGCUUUCAACGCGACCCCAGGUCAGGCGGGGUUACCCGCUGAAUUUAAGAAUAUCAAUAAGCGGAGGA
RNAcentral lists this unclassified non-coding RNA (412 nucleotides) under soil metagenome. Its description in RNAcentral is "partial contains 5.8S ribosomal RNA, internal transcribed spacer 2, and large subunit ribosomal RNA". The stretch from base 1 to 122 matches the Rfam family "5.8S ribosomal RNA", at positions 35 to 154 of the family's 154-position model. The record is from RNAcentral.